Colobus angolensis palliatus is the source of this 98-nucleotide unclassified non-coding RNA. It matches the Rfam family "Y RNA". From Rfam's summary of the family: Y RNAs are components of the Ro ribonucleoprotein particle (Ro RNP), in association with Ro60 and La proteins. The Y RNAs and Ro60 and La proteins are well conserved, but the function of the Ro RNP is not known. In humans the RNA component can be one of four small RNAs -- hY1, hY3, hY4 and hY5. Lineage: Eukaryota; Metazoa; Chordata; Mammalia; Primates; Cercopithecidae. The record is from Ensembl.
GGCCCGAGUGCAGUGGUGAUUACAGUUAAUUGAUCACAACCAGUGGCAGAUUUUUUUGUUCCUUGUCCACUUCCACUGCUUCACUGUAAGAGCCUAAC